RNAcentral lists this non-coding RNA (61 nucleotides) under unclassified sequences. The record is from RNAcentral.
GCAGAAGGGCACCGAGUGGUGUUCACUCGGUGUUAAUGCACAGCUCAGGUCCUAAGUCCUG